Long non-coding RNA from Corticium candelabrum, 2324 nucleotides. RefSeq lists it as uncharacterized. Lineage: Eukaryota; Metazoa; Porifera; Homoscleromorpha; Homosclerophorida; Plakinidae. The transcript is spliced from 6 exons. The record is from RefSeq and is a predicted model, not a curated record.
UUUCUAAACGUUCUUAACGUACAUCUGUCGGGUUUGCUCUGAGAUAGUGCCCGGAUACCCAACUUGGUUACUAAAGAUUGCCAUUAGCGAGCAAAGGCGGAGCCAGCAGCUAGCGCAAAAAGCUACCAAUUUAUGCUUGGUAUUAAAUUGCCUUUGUAUGUAGUACAAAACAUCGUUUUAGACUUGCUGAACCAAAUUUUUUUAAUCAAGACUAAGUUGUAUGAACUGUCAAUCAAAUGGUGAAUGAUGCUAUUCAAACCACCUCAAGUGGAAAGGUUUGACCUGCUGACUAAUGUUUUCUACACAUCUGAUGUCUUGAUGUUUCAAUUUUUGUUUCAAUUUUUGUUUCAUUCUUUAAACGCCCUUCAGAUUUGUUCUUAGUAUAUUUAUGAUUGCUUUUAAUUAGGAAGCAAUGGUGGGGCAAGUUGCAUUUUAACCCACAAGGAACACAAAUUUAUAGCUUGAAAAAUAGCUUGCAAAACCAAUAUCAACGGUGUUGUGUAUAAUUACGUUUGUGCAGUUGAUGGAUAACUAAGUUUUUGCCGCACUAACAGUUGCUACUGCCAGGGCACAUGGGAACAGAUAAAUAAAUGAACACAUCGAUUUUACAUAUUGUCAUAAAUGUUCUACAUGUGCACUGUGAACAUUUACAUGGAAUGUAACAACAUUUGCUAGCAACACUAAUGAGUGUACAUGGCAUUGAGCGUUAUCAUUAAACUAAUGUUCAACUUUGUUUCUAGAAUUUGAAGUAGGUCUCUUGAGUAUAUAUUUUGUAUACAUUUUUGAAGCAGUUUUAAAAGGGGCAGGAGAUGGUGAUCAUAUAGCUUCAAUUUUACAACAUCAAAUCUCAAUAGUAUUGUACAUGUCUCACAAAAGAAGAAACACUAGCUGCAUAUGUUGACAGCGUUAGGGCAUAUAAGUCUCUGAUUUGCUGUGGAUCGUGCAAUUGAAUCAAUACUCACGAAACUGUUAUUUCCCAAAAUAACUCAGGGCUAUCUGAAGCAGAGGAAUAUGUCUGCAACCAUGCAAAGUCGCACACAUACUGUUCAUGAUCGAGACAUCUCUAUAUCAUACAACAGCUAGCGAACAAUUGUGUGCCGUUACUUGUAAUAUCUCAUUCCAAUUUAUGUAGGAACCAAAGAGGCUAUGAAGAGAGCCCUUGAACCCUUAAAUUAACCAAACAGUGGGAAAUGACAGUGAAUGAUUCUCUUGAGGGAGACACUCAUUCAAGGCAUGCUAGUAAUGUGACUGCAUACAUAUUCGUGUCCUACAUUCAAGGAACCUGUUGAAGAAGGUCUCUAAUAUGCAUGAAAGAUUAUUGGUGCUUACUAUAUGUACUGAUUUUUUUAAAGUUAUUUUCUAGAAGUCCUUGAGAUAAGAAUCAAAUAACCCUGAUCUAAUAUGUCUAGACACAGAGGAGAAGGGCAUGUUUGAGAAAUCUGAAGAUCAAUCCAUAUCUAUACUUCAACCCCUAUGAGAAAGUAGCAGCAAGUUCAAACUGCAAAAUAUCCUUUGUUGAAUUGGUACAGACAACUGACAUCAGUAGCUCCAGGCAGUUAUACGGCCCUAUUGUCCCUAUUUAUUGACGGUCAACAUCGGAAGUGGGAUAUGUAGCAACACCAGCCUAUCAACAUCAUCAUCUUCAAUGGCGAAUGGGAUGUCAAGCAUUCUUUAUCUCCAAUAAGGCCUUCAUGCAAGCAGUCCUGUAGUAACAAGAAUUCAAGGUGAAGAUGCAUUUUCUGCAUCUGUGCAACUGCAACAGGAUCAAUGUACAGUUUGCCCCAUUGAUAGAUUAGUACCAGAGUAGAGUAGGAUAGAUGAUUUUCUAGAUUUGCCUGGUAUUCAAGAACAAUGUCUAAAAACUAUGCAAGAGUGAGACCAUGCAAUGACAAAUUUGCACUAUCAAUAUUUAGUACGACCUCUACUGUUUGCAAAAAACAGACAUAAAUAUAGUUUUGGAUCUACAUUGCCUAAGACUCUCACACACGUUUAGUAUCUCGUCUUCCAGUUCCGUCUUGUUCUUUGGUGGCUUCUUCUCUACUUCACGUUUCAUUCAACUCCAUAAAUUUUCUAUUGGAAUCAGGUCCGGUGAGUUGGCAGGCCAGCUAGUCACUAGCGUACGUUUCUGCUAGUGAGAAACUCGAUCUUUCGUUCUUCUAGACUUGCCAGCUGGUGCCUUCUCCUGGUGCAGCCUCCAACCACCAUUCCAAUCCUAAACAUAUACCUGAUGACGAUGAUCUAACUCAGCUGCGUACUGACUCAGGAUAGAUGCUUUUGUAUGUAUGGCAUGUGUUUCUCACUAUUUGGUUCGUUUAUAUAUUCUA